This 221-nucleotide unclassified non-coding RNA is filed under the name plant metagenome. Its description in RNAcentral is "partial contains small subunit ribosomal RNA and internal transcribed spacer 1". The stretch from base 1 to 46 matches the Rfam family "Eukaryotic small subunit ribosomal RNA", at positions 1786 to 1831 of the family's 1831-position model. The record is from RNAcentral.
AAGUCGUAACAAGGUUUCCGUAGGUGAACCUGCGGAAGGAUCAUUAAUGAAGUCUGGGUUUCAAACCCUCUCUCUUCUACACACUUGUGAACUUACACUGUUGCUUUGGCAGGUCUCCAGAAGGGUUGAAACCCGGACGGUCAGGUCGAAAGGCGCCUGCCAAAGGCAUUUAUCCACCCUUUUUUAUUGUCGAUUUUUGUCUAAACAAAUUAUAAAAAAAA